RNAcentral lists this transfer RNA (537 nucleotides) under uncultured Prochlorococcus sp. Its description in RNAcentral is "partial 16S-23S ribosomal RNA intergenic spacer". The stretch from base 209 to 281 matches the Rfam family "tRNA". Lineage: Bacteria; Bacillati; Cyanobacteriota; Cyanophyceae; Synechococcales; Prochlorococcaceae. The record is from RNAcentral.
CAGGGAGACAACAAAAUGUUUAAUAUUAUUUUGUCACCUUAGGUCGAUCGGUAUCUCACGUUCUUAAUUUAUUGAGAAUUUCAUUUCCUAAGUUUUUCUAGGUCACACCCAUUAUUUUUCCUGGGCCAUUAGCUCAGGUGGUUAGAGCGCACCCCUGAUAAGGGUGAGGUCCCUGGUUCAAGUCCAGGAUGGCCCAUAUCUCUAUGUUGGGGGUAUAGCUCAGUUGGUAGAGCGCCUGCUUUGCAAGCAGGAUGUCAGCGGUUCGAGUCCGCUUACCUCCACUGAUUACCACCUCUUCCAUAAUCUGUAGAAAGGAAAUGUUUUGAGUUGUGAUCAAAUUCUGAAAGAAUCUAGCUUCCUAAUGAAAUCAUUAAGAUGCUGGACUCAUUGAAUUAAUUUCAUUGUUUUCAGAGAACCUUGACAACUGCAUAGAUUAUUUUUAAAGACAAUAAGCAUUUUUAGUAAUGCAGAUUUAUUAUUUGUGCGAAUGCAUUAAUAACAAUUCUAUUAAGCUGAUGCUUCAAUUUUGAAGUUAUU